This 507-nucleotide small RNA is filed under the name Oryza sativa Japonica Group (Japanese rice). RNAcentral's name for it is "sRNA Os01g0872650". Lineage: Eukaryota; Viridiplantae; Streptophyta; Magnoliopsida; Poales; Poaceae. The record is from RNAcentral.
UCGCUCUCUCCCCCCAACCUCCUCUGCCUCGUUCGCCGACGACGACGGUGACGGCUGCCCCGCCGUCCCCCGUGGCCACAUCGCCAGCGUUACUAUGCCAGUGAAUUCAAGAUAUCACGCUAGCUUUCCAAUAACCCACUGAGCUUUGCCCACGGCUGCCCCCAUCGUCGCCGGCGGCCGGAGCGGGAGGGAGGAGAUAUCAUCAGAUCCCAGCGGGAAGCACACACCACUGCACAAGUGUCAGCAGUGGAGGAGAACGAGCGCUUGGAUCUUGAUCUUGAUGAUCUCGACGAAGCCGUCGGUGAAUUGUUCUUGGAUUUCUUCCUUCUGCUCUUCCUGGGCGGCUUUGGUAUGUCGGGAUGUGGUGGAUUUGCUUCCUUACCAGCAUUUUCGACAUAUAAACCGAAGGGUGAUAUAUCUUGAGGGUGAUCGAAAUCUGUCGAACAAACUGUCGCAAAUCAGUAAACAUAUAAUGAUGUAGUAUAAUUAAUAUCUGGUACUUUUUAG